UACUAUUUAUUAUAUAAUUUUUCCCGAAAGAAAUAGAUCUACACUGUAUAGAUUUGGUAGAAAUUGAAACACCAUAAUGUGGCAUUAUUAUGUAAAUAAAACAGUGUAGGGGUGAAACGCUUUCAAUUUUUCGGAUAUCUGGAUUAAACCUAAAUGAAUGUAGUUCAUAAAAUAACCAUAAAGUUAUAAGAUUUUAUGGGGGCAGAAUUUUUAAUAAAAUUACUCAGGGUGAAAUAAAGUUUUCCGGCUCAAAGUAAAAAAUAUAAUUUUUAUUUAGGUCAAUCUGUAGUUUUUAGGUUUAGGUUUUUAGUUAACAUCUUUUUCUUAAGUUAAUAAUGUUUAAAUUAGUAAUAUUUUAAAGUAAACUAAAGGAACUCGGCAAAUAAUGGUCCUCAACUAGUUUACCAAAAACAUAGCUUUAAGUUUAUAUUAUUUAAAGUUUAACCUGCCCAGUGAUGAGAGUUUUAACGGCCGCAGUACACUGACUGUGCUAAGGUAGCAUAAUAAAUUGACUUUUAAAUGGAGUCGGGUAUGAAAGGGUAACUGGGAACCUACUGUCUCAUUGUUUAUUUAAAUAAACUUACUUAUAAGGUGAAAAUUCCUUACUUCGCAUUAGUUAGACGAGAAGACCCUAAGAAUUAUAAUAAAAAAGAGGUUGAGUCUUAAAAUUUUUGUUGGGGCAACAAAUUCGGGGAAACCGGAUAAAAAUUAAAUAUGUUACAUGAAAUGCUUAAUUAGAAUGAAAUUAAUUACCUUAGGGAUAACAGCAUAAUUAUAUUUUUUAGAUUGUGACCUCGAUGUUGGACUAAGGACUUUAUUAAAUAGCCUUUAAUGAAGAUAGUUCUGUUCGAACUGAAAACCUUA
RNAcentral lists this ribosomal RNA (864 nucleotides) under Orcula pseudodolium. RNAcentral describes it as "partial 16S ribosomal RNA". The stretch from base 355 to 605 matches the Rfam family "Archaeal large subunit ribosomal RNA", at positions 1786 to 2143 of the family's 2987-position model. The record is from RNAcentral. Lineage: Eukaryota; Metazoa; Mollusca; Gastropoda; Stylommatophora; Orculidae.